CUAGACUUAGCUAGUAGUUCAGGUUGUUCCUUCUCUUGUUCCCCUCAUUCAGCUAAUAAUUUUGCAUAUUGAUUAAAUAAACAUGGAGCCAAGAAAAUGGCUUCUUUUGUGGGGAUUUUUUACCUGCUUUAGUUGUACCUUGUUGCUACAUUUGUACUUGUUCUUAUUUCAUCCUUGAUUGGUGUAACUAUCUUACUUCUCUUGUUAGAUAUUUUUUUAAUUGGAACUACACUUGUUAUAUAUUUAUUAUUUUUUUAAGCAUCCUUUGUAUUUUUGGAAGAAUUUCUCAUCUUUUGGUUGUAUUUAAAAUUCAUUUCAAUGAAUAGUUUGUUUUUGAUAAAAAACUAAAACAGAAAAAAAUUCAGCAGGGCUGACAGCGUUAGGAUAGAGACAACUAGGAUUAUUUGGGUUCAAAGUAGCCUCUUGGCAAAGCCUAAGAGGAAAAACAAGUAACAACUUCUUUCUUUGCAUGGUUAUUCUUUUUUUUAAUAGGAAACAAACAAAGAAAUAUAUUGAUAGAAUUAAGAAGUACAAAAGAAGGAUGAGGAAUCCUCCCACAAAAGAAAACUAAACAACAAGAAUACAAAAAUAAUAAGCUAAAUGGUAAUUACAAAAAGCAAACUCUUUUAGCUAGACCACCCCAUUGGAGCUAC
This 653-nucleotide long non-coding RNA is filed under the name Vitis vinifera (wine grape). Its description in RNAcentral is "long non-coding RNA (VVIN_LNC008164)". The record is from RNAcentral. Lineage: Eukaryota; Viridiplantae; Streptophyta; Magnoliopsida; Vitales; Vitaceae.